This 1351-nucleotide ribosomal RNA is filed under the name Burkholderia cenocepacia. Its description in RNAcentral is "bacterial LSU rRNA". It matches the Rfam family "Bacterial large subunit ribosomal RNA", at positions 1 to 1395 of the family's 2925-position model. Lineage: Bacteria; Pseudomonadati; Pseudomonadota; Betaproteobacteria; Burkholderiales; Burkholderiaceae. The record is from RNAcentral.
GUUAUAGGGUCAAGCGAACAAGUGCAUGUGGUGGAUGCCUUGGCGAUCACAGGCGAUGAAGGACGCGGUAGCCUGCGAAAAGCUACGGGGAGCUGGCAAACAAGCUUUGAUCCGUAGAUGUCCGAAUGGGGAAACCCACUCCUUUUGGAGUAUCCAUGGCUGAAUACAUAGGCCAUGCGAAGCGAACGCGGUGAACUGAAACAUCUAAGUAACCGCAGGAAAAGAAAUCAACCGAGAUUCCCAAAGUAGUGGCGAGCGAAAUGGGAUGAGCCUUGCACUCUUUAUUUGUAUUGUUAGCCGAACGCUCUGGAAAGUGCGGCCAUAGCAGGUGAUAGCCCUGUAGGCGAAAACAGUAUGAAAGAACUAGGUGUGCGACAAGUAGGGCGGGACACGUGAAAUCCUGUCUGAAGAUGGGGGGACCAUCCUCCAAGGCUAAAUACUCGUGAUCGACCGAUAGUGAACCAGUACCGUGAGGGAAAGGCGAAAAGAACCCCGGGAGGGGAGUGAAAUAGAUCCUGAAACCGCAUGCAUACAAACAGUCGGAGCCUCGUAAGGGGUGACGGCGUACCUUUUGUAUAAUGGGUCAGCGACUUACGUUCAGUAGCAAGCUUAACCGUAUAGGGCAGGCGUAGCGAAAGCGAGUCCGAAUAGGGCGUUCAGUUGCUGGGCGUAGACCCGAAACCAGGUGAUCUAUCCAUGGCCAGGAUGAAGGUGCGGUAACACGUACUGGAGGUCCGAACCCACUAACGUUGAAAAGUUAGGGGAUGAGCUGUGGAUAGGGGUGAAAGGCUAAACAAACCUGGAAAUAGCUGGUUCUCUCCGAAAACUAUUUAGGUAGUGCCUCGUGUCUCACCUUCGGGGGUAGAGCACUGUCAUGGUUGGGGGGUCUAUUGCAGAUUACCCCGCCAUAGCAAACUCCGAAUACCGAAGAGUGCAAUCACGGGAGACAGACAUCGGGUGCUAACGUCCGGUGUCAAGAGGGAAACAACCCAGACCGCCAGCUAAGGUCCCCAAAUAUAGCUAAGUGGGAAACGAAGUGGGAAGGCUAAAACAGUCAGGAGGUUGGCUUAGAAGCAGCCACCCUUUAAAGAAAGCGUAAUAGCUCACUGAUCGAGUCGUCCUGCGCGGAAGAUGUAACGGGCUAAGCUAUAUACCGAAGCUGCGGAUGCGAGCUUGCUCGCAUGGUAGGAGAGCGUUCCGUAAGCCUGCGAAGGUGCCUUGUAAAGGUGCUGGAGUAUCGAAGUGCGAAUGCUGACAUGAGUAGCGAUAAAGGGGGUGAAAGGCCCCCCUCGCCGUAAGCCCAAGGUUUCCUACGCAACGUUCAUCGGCGUAGGGUGAGUCGGCCCCUAAG